RNAcentral lists this ribosomal RNA (506 nucleotides) under uncultured bacterium. RNAcentral's name for it is "partial 16S ribosomal RNA". It matches the Rfam family "Bacterial small subunit ribosomal RNA", at positions 28 to 523 of the family's 1533-position model. The record is from RNAcentral.
GAUGAACGCUAGCUACAGGCUUAACACAUGCAAGUCGAGGGGUAACGAGAGGAAAGCUUGCUUUCCUUGUCGACGACCGGCGCACGGGUGAGUAACGCGUAUCCAACCUGCCCCCAACUAAGGAAUAACCUUGCGAAAGUAAGACUAAUACCUUAUAAUUUCCUCAGAUGUCAUCUGACGAGGAAUAAAGAUUUAUCGGUUGUGGAUGGGGAUGCGUCUGAUUAGCUUGUUGGCGGGGUAACGGCCCACCAAGGCAACGAUCAGUAGGGGUUCUGAGAGUAAGGUCCCCCACAUUGGAACUGCGACACGGUCCAAACUCCUACGGGAGGCAGCAGUGAGGAAUAUUGGUCAAUGGGCGAAAGCCUGAACCAGCCAAGUAGCGUGCAGGAUGACGGCCCUAUGGGUUGUAAACUGCUUUUAUACAGGAAUAAAGUUAGCCACGUGUGGUUAUUUGUAGGUACUGUAUGAAUAAGGACCGGCUAAUUCCGUGCCAGCCGCCGCGGUAA